GCCAUGUCAUGAAAGGAAACUGCGGCAGACUUAAAAUCUGCCGACCGCGAGGUCUUGCCGGUUCGAUUCCGGCUCGGGCACCA
Molecule: transfer RNA, 83 nt
Filed under: Gammaproteobacteria bacterium
Lineage: Bacteria; Pseudomonadati; Pseudomonadota; Gammaproteobacteria
Description: tRNA-Leu
Source: RNAcentral